RNAcentral lists this ribosomal RNA (606 nucleotides) under uncultured bacterium. RNAcentral's name for it is "bacterial SSU rRNA". It matches the Rfam family "Bacterial small subunit ribosomal RNA", at positions 202 to 823 of the family's 1533-position model. The record is from RNAcentral.
UAAAGGGAGGAAUCCGCUUACAGAGGGGCCUGCGGCGCAUUAGCUAGUUGGUAAGGUAAAGGCUUACCAAGGCGAUGAUGCGUAGCCGGACUGAGAGGUUGAACGGCCACAAUGGAACUGAGACACGGUCCAUACUCCUACGGGAGGCAGCAGUAGGGAAUUUUCGGCAAUGGGGGGAACCCUGACCGAGCAACGCCGCGUGAACGAAGAAGUUAUUCGUAAUGUAAAGUUCUUUUAUUUGCGAAGAAGAAAGUGACGGUAGCAAAUGAAUAAGCUCCGGCUAACUACGUGCCAGCAGCCGCGGUAAUACGUAGGGAGCGAGCGUUAUCCGGAAUUAUUGGGCGUAAAGGGUGCGUAGAUGGCACAAAAAGUCUUGUGUAAAAAUGCUAGGCUCAACCUAGUAGAGCAAAAGAUACUUUUGAGCUAGAGUAUGGCAGAGGCAAGUGGAACUACAUGUGUAGCGGUAAAAUGCGUAAAUAUAUGUAAGAACACCAGUGGCGAAGGCGGCUUGCUGGGCCGAUACUGACAUUGAGGCACGAAAGCGUGGGGAGCAAACAGGAUUAGAUACCCUGGUAGUCCACGCCCUAAACGAUGAGUACUAAGUGU